RNAcentral lists this long non-coding RNA (251 nucleotides) under Malus domestica (apple). RNAcentral describes it as "long non-coding RNA (MDOM_LNC017882)". The record is from RNAcentral. Lineage: Eukaryota; Viridiplantae; Streptophyta; Magnoliopsida; Rosales; Rosaceae.
GGCCGGCCUCUUUAGAGAGAAAGGAGAGCUUUGUGUUCUCUCUAAUUUCCUCAAAAACCCUAAAUGAAUUUUGGCUAUAAAGUCAUAUUUAUACCUUUAUUCAUUGGAGUGGCAAACUUGUAAUUAAAGCAAGUUCACUACCCUUUCUCUAAAUGGCCGGCCAUAGGGUUUUAUUGGGCUUAUUGGGCCUUUGUGAAUUAAGUUGUCAUACAACUUAAGUCAAUGGGCUUGACGUUCGAAGCCCAUUGGGC